GGGGCUGAUUCUGGAUUCGACGGGAUUUGCGAAACCCAAGGUGCAUGCCGAGGGGCGGUUGGCCUCGUAAAAAGCCGCAAAAAAUAGUCGCAAACGACGAAAACUACGCUUUAGCAGCUUAAUAACCUGCUUAGAGCCCUCUCUCCCUAGCCUCCGCUCUUAGGACGGGGAUCAAGAGAGGUCAAACCCAAAAGAGAUCGCGUGGAAGCCCUGCCUGGGGUUGAAGCGUUAAAACUUAAUCAGGCUAGUUUGUUAGUGGCGUGUCCGUCCGCAGCUGGCAAGCGAAUGUAAAGACUGACUAAGCAUGUAGUACCGAGGAUGUAGGAAUUUCGGACAUGGGUUCAACUCCCGCCAGCUCCACCA
Molecule: transfer-messenger RNA, 363 nt
Filed under: Escherichia coli
Lineage: Bacteria; Pseudomonadati; Pseudomonadota; Gammaproteobacteria; Enterobacterales; Enterobacteriaceae
Rfam family: transfer-messenger RNA
About the family: Bacterial tmRNA, also known as 10Sa RNA or SsrA, is named for its dual tRNA and mRNA-like properties. Its role is to liberate the mRNA from a stalled ribosome. To accomplish this part of the tmRNA is used as a reading frame that ends in a translation stop signal.
Source: RNAcentral